RNAcentral lists this unclassified non-coding RNA (304 nucleotides) under plant metagenome. RNAcentral describes it as "partial contains 5.8S ribosomal RNA, internal transcribed spacer 2, and large subunit ribosomal RNA". The stretch from base 1 to 104 matches the Rfam family "5.8S ribosomal RNA", at positions 51 to 154 of the family's 154-position model. The record is from RNAcentral.
AAAUGCGAUAAGUAGUGUGAAUUGCAGAAUUCAGUGAAUCAUCGAAUCUUUGAACGCACAUUGCGCCCUUUGGUAUUCCUUAGGGCAUGCCUGUUCGAGCGUCAUCUAAACCUUCAAGCCCUGCUUGGUGUUGGGUGUCUGUCCCGCCUCCGCGCGCGGACUCACCUCAAAUCCAUUGGCGGCCCCCGCGUCGGCCACGAGCGCAGCAGAAACGCGAACUCGUGAGCCCGUCCGGGCGGCUCCCAGAAGCUACACCCACCCAGUUUGACCUCGGAUCAGGUAGGGAUACCCGCUGAACUUAAGC